GUAGUCUGCGCGGGGACUGGCGGGACUGCGCGGAGGCGACUACAGGCAUGGCGGUCUGGGUCCUGUCGCGCCUGCUGAGCGCUCCGCGCCUGGCGCUGGCCAAGGCGGUCCUGAGGCACGUGAAUGGCCAGGAUCAGAUUGUGCCCGGCCUGUACGCCUGUGGGGAGGCCGCCUGUGCCUCGGUACAUGGUGCCAAUCGGCUCGGGGCAAACUCGCUCUUGGACUUGGUUGUCUUUGGUCAGGCAUGUGCCCUGAGCAUCGAAGAGUCAUGCAGGCCUGGAGAUAAAGUCCCUCCAAUUAAACCAAACGCUGGGGAAGAAUCUGUCAUGAAUCUUGACAAAUUGAGAUUUGCUGAUGGAAGCAUAAGAACAUGAGAACUGCGACUCAGCAUGCAGAAGUGCCGCUGGGUUAGGGUCUCCACAACCGAGCUGGUCUCAGCAAGUGGCGCCCACACAUGGGGGCUCGAAUCCAGGUCGAAGGGUCACCGGAGCGACAGAAAACUUGGAACUAAGCUGGAGGACACCGAGUACUCUUAUGCAGUCCCCAUGGUGAGUAAGAAGGGGAGCUCAGAAGCAUCAGGGUAACGAUGGGACACGUGUGGGCUCUGGUUCUAAGCCGGAGGACACCCAAGUACUCUUACCCAGUCCCCAUGGUGUGUAAGAAAGGGAGCUCGGAAGCAUCAGGGUAACAAUGGGACACGUGUGGGCUCUGGUUCUAAGCUGGAGGACACUGAGUACUCUUACACAGUCCCCAUGGUGAGUAAGAAGGGGAGCUCGGAAGCAUCAGGGUAACAAUGGGACGUGUGGGCUCUGGUUCGUUCCACCUUGGAACCUUUUCACGCUAAUAAUAAGGGGGAAGGAGAGUAUAACGAAGUAACAGAAGAAAUAACAGAGCAGGUUUGUUUGCCAACUAAAGCUAAAGCGGCAAAGGAGGGAGAGGUUCAUCCCUACCCUUCUGCACCCCCUCCUUAUUUUGAAGAAAAAGAGUGGCCUGACCCUCCAGAUCUUUCAUUUCCAGAGGACAGUGGGCGAAAAGUAGUUGCUCCAGUGACUGUCCGAGCAGCACCUUGAGCGACCCCUCUCAGUUCUAUUCAGGUAGGAAUUCAGCAAGCUAGAUGAGAGGGUGAUUUAGAGGCUUGGCAGUUCCCUAUUAGAAUACACCCCGCAGAUCAACAGGGAAAUAUAGCCACAUUUGAGCCUUUUCCCUUUAAAUUACUUAAGGAGUUUAAACAGGCUAUCAAUCAAUAUGGACCAGGUUCUCAUUUCGUAAUGGGACUGUUAAAGAAUGUUGCUGUUUCCAGUCGGAUGAUUCCUACUGACGGACACUCUUACUCGAGCUUGUCUAACUCCUGCUCAGUUCUUACAAUGUAAAACUUGGUGGGCAGGUGAAGCUUCCAUUCAGCCUACUUGCAGCGCCCAGGCCCAACCUCAAAUUAAUAUAACUGCAGACCAACUUUUGGGGGUCAGCGGCUGGGUUGGUUUAGAUGCACAAGUGGUCGUGCAGGAUGAUGCCGUAGAACAGCUUAGAGGAGUGUGCAUUAGAGCUUGGGAAAAAAUCACUUCAGGUGGAGAACAAUACCCUUCCUUUAGUGCAGUAAAACAGGGACCAAAAGAACCGUACGCAGAUUUUAUAGCUCAGUUACAGGAGUCUCUUAAAAAGGUGAUUGCAGAUUCGGCUGCUCAGGAUAUAGUGCUGCAGUUAUCAGCUUUCGACAAUGCUAAUCCCGAUUGCCAGGCUGCUCUGUGACCUAUCAGAGGGAACGCACACUUAGUUGAUUAUAUCAAGGCCUGUGACGGUAUCAGAGGUAAUAUGCAUAAAGCUACUUUGUUGGUACAGGCAAUGGCAGGACUGAGAGUGGAUAAAGGAAAUCCUUUGUUGCCUGGAGCUUGUUUUAACUGUGGGAAGCAUGGUCAUACUAAACAAGAACGUAGAAAAAAUGAGUGAGUCAGGCUGCCAGAUAGGGGAAAAAAGAAAACUGCUGAGCCUGAAAUAUGUCCAAAAUGUAAAAAAGGAAAACGUUGGGCUAAUCAGUGUCACUCUAAGUUUGAUAAAGAUGGGAACUCGAUUUUGGGAAAUGCCAUGAGGGGCCCGUCCUGGGUCCCGUUCCAAACCGGAGCGUUUCCGGCUCAGGCCAUUCCCUCACCCCUGUACAAUGUCUGUUCCCCGCCACAGCCAGUAGUGCCACAGUAGAUUUAUGCUGCACAUUAGCUGUGAGACUUCUGCCUGGGGAACCCCCACCAAAGGUCCCAGCAGGAGUCUGUGGACCCUUGCCAGCGGGGACAAUAGGAUUACUUUUAGGAAGGUCUAGUUUAAGUUUAAAAGGAGUACAAAUACACACAGGAGUCAUUGAUUCAGAUUACAAUGGGGAAACUCAAAGUGUUAUAUCUACUUCUGUUCCCUGGAAAACAGAGCCAAGAGAGCAUAUAGCACAGCUCCUGAUUGUGCCAUAUGUGGAAAUGGGGAAAAGUGAAACUAAACGAACAGGAGGAAGUACAAAUAUACAAAGCAAAGCAGCUUAUUGGGUGAAUCAAAUUACUGAUAAACGUCCUACCUGUGAAAUAACUAUUCAGGGAAAGAAAUUUAAGGUUUGGUAGAUGCAGGAGCGGAGAUUUCAAUCAUUUCUCUACAGCACUGGCCAUCCGCGUGGCCAAUUCAACCUGCUCAAUUUAACAUAGUUGGAGUUGGUAAAGCCCCUGAAGUAUAUCAAAGUAGUUAUAUUUCCAUUGUGAAGGGUCCAAUGGACAACCUGGGACUAUUCAACCAAUUAUAACUUCUGUACCUAUAAAUUUAUGGGGAAGAGAUUUAUUACAACAAUGGGGAGCACAAGUUCUAAUUCCAGAGCAAUUAUAUAGCCCUCAAAGUCAGCAUAUGAUGCAUGAAAUGGGGUAUGUCCCUGGUAUGGGACUAGGAAAAAAUUUGCAAGGUUUGAAAGAACCACUUCAAGUGGAAAGACAGUUCCUGCCAAGGUUUAGGAUAUUAUUCUUGAUGGCAGCCAUUGUUAAGCUUCCAGAACCUAUACCUUUAAAAUGGUUAACAUAUAAGCCAAUUUGGAUGGAACAAUGGCCGCUGAGUAAAGAGAAACUGGAGGCUUUAGAGGACUUAGUUAAUGAACAAUUAGAAAAGGGACACAUAGCUCCAACAUUUUCCCCUUGGAAUUCUUCAAUUUUCGUAAUUAAGAAAAAAUCAGGUAAAUGGAGAAUGUUAACUGACUUAAGAGCCAUUAAUUCAGUUAUACAACCUAUGGGGACAUUACAGCCAGGAUUGCCUUCUCCUGCUAUGAUUCCAAAAAAUUGGCCUUUAAUAGUCAUAGAUUUAAAAGACUGUUUCUUUACUAUCCCCUUAGCUGAGCAAGACUGUGAACGGUUUGCAUUUACAAUUCCUGCAGUAAACAACCUGCAGCCUGCUAAGCGUUUUCAUUGGAAAGUGUUGCCACAAGGCACGUUAAACAGUCCAACGAUUUGCCGGAUUUGUGUAGGGCAAGCAAUUGAACCUCCUCGUAAAACAUUUUCACUGUGUUACAUUAUUCAUUAUAUGAAUGAUAUACUUUGUGCUGCCCCUACUCAAGAAAUAUUACUCCAGUGUUAUGAUCACUUGCAAAAUUCAAUUUCUGGUGCUGGUUAAAUUAUAGCUCCUGACAAAAUUCAGAUUACUACUCCUUACUCCUACUUGGGAACCUUAGUAAAUGACACUACCAUUGUGCCACAGAAAGUAGCCAUACGUAGGGAUCAAUUGAAAACAUUAAAUGACUUUCAAAAAUUACUAGGGGACAUUAACUGGAUACAACCUGCUCUAGGCAUUCCUACCUAUGCCAUGAGUAAUCUGUUUUCUAUCCUUAGAGGAGAUCCUAGUCUCACCAGCCCUCGGUAAUUAACAAGAGAAGCUGAGGCAGAGCUGCAGCUAAUCGAAAAGCAAGUCCAUAAAGCCCAAAUAAAUAGAAUCGAUCCAGAGAAGACUCGAGCUGCAGCUGAUCGAAAAGCAAGGCCAUAAAGCCCAAAUAAAUAGAAACGAUCCAGAGAAGACUCGAGCUGCAGCUGAUCGAAAAGCAAGGCCAUAAAGCCCAAAUAAAUAGAAAUGAUCCAGAGAAGACUCGAGCUGCAUCUCAUCAAAAAGCAAGGACAUAAAGCCCAAAUCAAUAGAAUCGAUGCAGAGAAGACUCAAGCUGCAGCUGAUCAAAAAGCAAGGCCAUAAAGCCCAAAUAAAUAGAAUCGAUCCAGAGAAGACUUGAGCUGCAGCUGAUCGAAAAGCAAGGCCAUAAAGCCCAAAUCAAUAGAAUCGAUCCAGAGAAGACUCGAGCUGCAGCUCAUUGAAAAGCAAGGCCAUAAAGCUCAAAUCAAUAGAAUCGAUCCAGAGAAGACUCGAGCUGCAGCUGAUCGAAAAACAAGGCCAUAAAGCCCAAAUAAAUAGAAUAGAUCCAGAGAAGACUCGAGCUGCAGCUGAUCAAAAAGCAAGGCCAUAAAGCCCAAAUAAAUGGAAUAGAUCCAGAGAAGACUCGAGCUGCAGCUGAUCGAAAAGCAAGGCCAUAAAACUCAAAUCAAUAGAAUAGAUGCAGAGAAAACUCGAGCUGCAGCUGAUCAAAAAGCAAGGCCAUAAAGCCCAAAUGAAUAGAAUUGAUCCAGAGAAGACUCGAGCUGCAGCUGAUUGAAAAGCAAGGCCAUAAAGCCCAAAUCAAUAGAAUAGAUCCAGAGAAGACUCGAGAUGCAGCUGAUCUAAAAGCAAGUCCAUAAAGCCCAAAUAAAUAGAAUAGAUCCAGAGAAGACUCUAGAUUUGCUAAUUUUUCCAACUCCACAUUCAGCUACUGGUGUUAUUGUUCAAGAGCAAGAUCUUGUAGAAUGGCUUUUUCUUCCACAUACUAAUUCAUGGCCUCUAACUCCUUAUUUGGAUCAAAUUGCUACUAUGAUAGGAAAUGGGAGAACUCGGAUUGUUAAAUUACAUGGAUAUGAUCCUGAAAAAAUUGUCCCUCUCACGAAGGCACAAAUACAGCAAGAUUUUAUAAAUAGUCUUACUUGGCAAACCCAUUUAGCUGACUUUUUGGGUAUUCUCGAUAAUCAUUUUCCUAAAAUGAAACUGUUUCAAUUUUUGAAAUUAACUAAUUGUAUUCUCCCUAAAAUAACUAAACCAAUUGAACGUGUGGAGAAUGUUUUUACAGAUGGGUCUAGUAAUGGUAAAGCUUCUUACUCUGGCUCGAAAGGUAAAGUUUUCCAGACACCCUAUGCUUCAGCUCAAAAAACGGAGCUUGUAGCUGUAAUUGAGGUAUUGACUGCUUUUAAUAUGCCUAUUAAUGUGAUUUCUGAUUCUUCAUAUGUGGUUCAUUCGACACAAUUAAUUGAAAAUGCUGAGUUACGAUUUCAUACAGAUGAACAACUGAUGACUUUAUUUAUGCAAUUGCAAACAGCAGUUAGGAGUAGAAUGCACCCUUUUUACAUCACUCACAUUAGGGCUCAUACACCUCUUCCAGGACCUUUGACUGCAGGGAAUCAAAUGGCUGAUCGCCUAGUUGCUACUGCAAUAUCUAAUGCUGGACACUUUCACAAUUUAACCCGUGUUAAUACCUCUGGUCUCAAACGCAGAUACAGCAGUACCUGGAAAGAAGCUAAAGCUAUUAUCCAGCGAUGCCCAACUUGCCAAAUGGUACAUUCCUCAUCUUUUACAGGAGGAGUUAAUCCUCGAGGAUUGGAACCUAAUUCUCAAGCUCUAGCUAAAUUUUUCUCUAUACGGAAUAUUAAACACAUUACUGAUAUCCCAUAUAAUUCUGAAGGACAAGCCAUAGUGGAAAGAAUGAAUCUCUCCCUGAAACAGCAGUUGCAGAAGCAAAAGGGGGAAAACAGGUACUACAGGACACCCCAUAAGCAAUUGAAUCGCAUUAUUAACUUUAAAUUUUUUGAGCCUGCCUAAAGGCCGGAUCUUAUCAGCAGCUGAACAGCAUCUACAGAAACCAGCUGCAAAGACAGAAGCAGAACAACUGGUUUGGUGGAGAGACCUGAUAACAGAAAGUUGGGAAAUAGGUAAAAUAAUAACUUGGGGUAGAGGUUAUGCUUAUGUUUCUCCAGGACUGAACCAUCAAGACACCUGAAACCUUAUCAUGAGCGAAUGCUGAGGAAGAGAUUCCGGGAGGAUCCCGAGGACCCCCCCAGUUGCAGCCAUGUCAAGACUGAUGCUGAGGAGGACCCCAACUGUCACGAGCAACACCCGUCAAACACAGCCAUCCACCUGAGGUCAGAUCAAGAAGCUGUCACAGAUGGCAGAAGAAAACCUGAGGAAUGGUCUGGAACACGGACCUGGUGGAGACCCUGGAGCUGCAGAACCUGAUGCUGUGUGCGCUGCAGACCAUCUACGGAGCAGAGGCGCGGAAGGAGUCACGGGGCACGCACGCCAGGGAAGGCUACAAGGUGCAGAUUGAUGAGUACGAUUACUCCAAGCCCAUCCAGGGGCAACAGAAGAAGCCCUUUGAGGAGCACUGGAGGAAGCACACCCUGUCCUAUGUGGACGUUGGCACUGGGAAGACCCGUAAUCGACAAAACUUUGAACGAGGCUGACUGUGCCACCGUCCCCCCAGCCAUUCGCUCCUACUGAUGAGACAAGAUGCGGUGAUGACAGAAUCAGCUUUUGUAAUUAUGUAUAAUAGCUCAUGCAUGUGUCCAUGUCAUAACUGUCUUCAUACGCUUCUGCACUCCGGGGAAGAAGGAGUACAUUGAAGGGAGAUUGGCACCCAGGCUGGGAGCUUGCCAGGAACCCAGUGGCCAGGGAGCGUGGCACUUACCUUUGUCCCUUGCUUCAUUCUUGUGAGAUGAUAAAACUGGGCACAGCUCUUAAAUAAAAUAUAAAUGAACAAAC
Homo sapiens (human) is the source of this 6831-nucleotide long non-coding RNA. The record is from Ensembl. Lineage: Eukaryota; Metazoa; Chordata; Mammalia; Primates; Hominidae.